UAAAUAAACAAGUGUACAAGCAAACAAGUUUACUUUCCUUCAUUUUGGACAAAAACCAUACAUUAUGUGUGGUCGUUUAGAUAUCAUGGAUUCUAGAUAACUUUAAUUAUGUUUCUCAAAAAUUUAAGUUUUUACUGCUAUUUCGACUACCUCUUUUUCUUCCUACCUCCCAAAUGACUCGUUACUAGAUGAACAAAGGAAAUCCUUCCAGUUGUUUCGGUAAAGAUCC
RNAcentral lists this long non-coding RNA (229 nucleotides) under Setaria viridis. Its description in RNAcentral is "long non-coding RNA (SVIR_LNC010946)". Lineage: Eukaryota; Viridiplantae; Streptophyta; Magnoliopsida; Poales; Poaceae. The record is from RNAcentral.